Molecule: long non-coding RNA, 927 nt
Organism: Lagopus leucura (white-tailed ptarmigan)
Lineage: Eukaryota; Metazoa; Chordata; Aves; Galliformes; Phasianidae
Exons: 4
Source: RefSeq, a predicted model, not a curated record
CUACUCUGCUGGAGUUUCGCAAGUAAGCUCAGGAUACAGUUCCAGGUAGAAAUCAAAUCCAAGACCCAGAGGUGAAAGACAUCCAGUUGGAACAAAGUUGAUGGAUAAUAUUUUUGACACAAAAGGGAGUGGUACUUUCAGAAAAUGCUUAUAAGAACAGCUUACCUGGGGAGGAAUGGAGACUUCAGCUUGACUACUGAUAAGACAGCAAAAGCAACUCACCUAAGGACUUGCUGACCCUGCAUAAGAGAAAUUAAAUGAAACAACAUGUAGUACUGGUAGUAUCCUAAGUUCCUGCUCUACAGCACAUGGGUUUGAAAGAACAUCUGUUGAACCUGUUUAAAAUUCUUAAAUCUUCAUUAAAAAAAUGGUGAGCUUCUAACAGGGCUGGAAGAAAGAACAGUGCAGCUUCCUAUAUAUUCUUUCCUAUUCUUGUGCUUUUUCAUGGAAAUCUGCUUAUGGCCAGAAAAUUAUGCAUUAGAUGAACCUUUGGACUAAUACUGAAUGGACACUUAAAUUUUCUUCUGUAGGAACUGUUAUUUGUUAAGGCUGCAACGUAGCCUAAAAACAUCUGCAUACAGCAGCAGGAUGUUGGGAUAUUGGCAGGAUUUAUGUGUAAUCAGGAUCCUAGAAAAAAUACAUAUAUUGCAAGCUUACAUUUUUAAUGGUGGGCAUUGUACUUUGAUAGUGUACACAAAAGAUGCAAGAACAUGAGAAACACAAAUGCAAUCUAUGAAAUGUCUUUGUUUCUUUCUAAAACAACAAUAAUAGAGAAAUAGAAAUGCCAUAAUAAAAGUUGAGUAACACAGGAAAAAAAUGCAAUGGCUUUGGAAGACUCUCCCAACUUUCCCUGGAAAAGCAGGAUGUACUUUUAUGAAAAGAUAAACCAUAGUUAAAAGGGAUGGGUAGAAGAAAAGCACUGAUUUG